CUUGGUCAUUUAGAGGAAGUAAAAGUCGUAACAAGGUUUCCGUAGGUGAACCUGCGGAAGGAUCAUUAGUGAACGCCCUCACGGGCUUAUAACUAUUCCAAACCUCUGUGAACCGUGCCCUUCGGGGCUAUUUUACAAACAUGGUGUAAUGAACGUCAUAUAUCAUAACAAAACAAAACUUUCAACAACGGAUCUCUUGGCUCUCGCAUCGAUGAAGAACGCAGCGAAAUGCGAUAAGUAAUGUGAAUUGCAGAAUUCAGUGAAUCAUCGAAUCUUUGGACGCACCUUGCGCCCUCUGGUAUUCCGGAGGGCAUGCCUGUUUGAGUGUCAUGUAGACUCAAUCCCUCGGGUUUCCGAGGAGAUUGGACUUGGGUGUUGCCGCUCUGCCGGCUCGCCUUAAAAGACUUAGCGGGAUAGCACCGUAGUCGGCGUAAUAAGUUUCGUCGGUGAAGGUUGUGAUGACUGCUUACAAUCGCCCUCGGGCAAUUUUUGACUCUGACCUCAAAUCAGGUAGGACUACCCGCUGAACUUAAGCAUAUCAAUAAGCGGAGGA
Molecule: ribosomal RNA, 553 nt
Filed under: uncultured fungus
Lineage: Eukaryota; Fungi
Description: eukaryotic LSU rRNA
Rfam family: 5.8S ribosomal RNA (bases 177-330)
Source: RNAcentral